AGUGCCUCACAGACAGCAUCCCAGCACAUCAUGGAGAGCUAAGUGACAGAACAGGCAGCUCCUCUUCUCCCUGGAGGGGAGAACAGAGAUGGAUUUCUAUCAAAAGGAGCCACUAUGUGCUGUUACAUGCCAUAUACAUGGGAGGUUGUGACAGUUGUAUUAAAACCUCCAGGACUGGCUAUCUAUGACUGGCUCCACAGUGCUCAGGGCAAGAAGAGUCAACUGCAGGUCUUUUGUGGCUCAUUAUCUUCUUGCUUCCAUUUCUUAAAGGGAGAAUAUGUAGAUUGGUCCCCUAACUUAGGAAGUACGGGGAAAGUAAAACCAGAAAUACUUCCCCUAACUUUGACUCGUAUAAACACAUUAAGGAAAGGAAAGGUUGAAAGGAUGUUCCCACACUCAAGGAACUUGUACAACCAAGUCAAGCGAGGCAAGUCAAGAAGAAAACAGAACCCCAAUCAUUUCUCCAGAUGCUCUGAAUCACCUCCAGGGCACAGGCAUAGAUGUUCCCCAACCCUGAAUGCUACAGCAAGUGCAUAUCUACUUACAGCAGAUUUGUAAACAGAUCUAUUCUCCACUUAAAAACAUUUUUUCAAGACCAGUGAUUAAAAAUGUAAAAACUAAAGCCUGAAAAAAUAUCAGUUCCCCUUGCAGAGCCCAGUGUUAAAAUAUAAACUCCGAUGAGUGAUUAGAAAAACACCACAGAAAUAAAUAUACAUAUACAUACAUGUGUAUUUUUUUCCAGUAGAUUUUGGCCUUUUAAUGACAUUUGUUCAUGAGAAAAAGAAAUUCGCUUGUCCCAGCACCAUAACCCCACCAACCUUCAUGGGUGUUCUGCAAAAAAAGGUCCCACAGAGACCAAGAAUAUGGUGACAUUUGGUGCUCUUCGAUCAGAGUGUGAAUAUCACCCGUUUUCUCCUUUUAGCUCUUGCAAUAAAAAUAUUCUCAGGCACGAAUCACAAUGGCACGGGCUACAGCCCCUCCUCAUGGAGUGUGAUUCUCUCUGAGCCUCGCCUUCUGCUGCGUUUGAAGGAACCUCUCCCAGGACCGAGUAGCCCUGCUGGAUCAUCCUUUGCACUUUGGAAUCAAAAGAAAAGAAACCAGAAUGGGUGUCCAUAACUACAGAGGUGUUGAAGUCAUAAAGGGCUCAGGAGGAUGGUGCAACUCUGGCCACAGUGGAGCACACUCACAGGGCAGCCAAGGAGACCCCUCUGGAGACAUGGGCAGUGUUUAAUCAUUCCCUUUGCAAAGGAUCCCCAAAUUGGGAGAGGCUGGAUGGAUGACUAAGUCAAGUUGGUGCAAAAUGAGUCACGUUUCUUGAAGGUCACUUCCCCAAAUGUAUGAGCCACCAAAGGGAAAGGAAAACUAUUUCUUAAGAGUAAUGAAAACGGCAUUAGAAAAAGUGGAUGAGAAUAUCAAAGCCAGCCAAUCCUCCUUUCUUCUUCCAUAUAUGGUGGUCCCCACCCCCAGAAGUCAAUACCAGAAACUCCUACACCAUUACUUCAGAAUAAAGAGGAAAGCAAAGUUCUCUAGUCUGCAAUCCUUUGACAUUCCAGACCACAGAUAAACACGAACCCUACCAAACCAGUAACACAAACAACCUGUGCCUCCGUGGAGGGCACGAAGGCAUGAUUCUCACAGGCACAAUCAUUAAGCUCCUUUACUUGAAACUACUGUUACAUCUUUCUGAACCUUCCAAUUCCAAUCUCAACCACAAACUGAAAGUUAAUAAAAAGCCCCUGAAUGAUUCAUAUAAAUCCUUUAAAUCUAAGAACAGGAGCCAACACUAAAAAAGCAAUAGCCCAUUUAAAUUUCAAUAGCUUGAAUGCCAGACAUCCCUGAUUGUCACAUUUUGUCACCCACCAAGUCACCAUUUCAUGUUCCUAGUUCACUGUGGGAUCCAGACAUAUUCCACUCUAACAAAUACAACUUGCCAGAAGUAUUUCUGAGUGUGGUUAUUUACGAUUUUCACAAACAACUUUUUCAAAUAUUCCUUCAAUAGGUUCUAAGAAUUAAGUAGCAUGAAAUCCAAAUCUAAAAUCAUUGUCUCCAUGCUUCAUUGAAGAAAAUGAACGUGAAAAAAUCCAAUAGCAGCUGCAAACCAUUUAAGAAUUCCUAGUUAAACUGCAAAAUACAUUUUCAACCAUUUAGCCAUAACAACUUCUAAACGGAGAAAGUUGCUUCUUUAUAUAAACCACCUCUGUUUACCAAACAUCAGAGAAUCUCCGGGCAGAGGGCUACUGCAGGAUGGGAAUAGUAAGAGAAUGUUACAACCCAUGAGGUGCUGAUCUGCACACACCACCGUGAGGAAAUACCUUAAGUGAUUAAAGACAAACGCCACCUGCAUGCUUGGCAAAGGAGUCCACUGCUAUCGCCACACACUCUCCCCAGUGAGAGAGGGGAAACGAUGGACUGAAGUCCCACAGUGGAUUAGAACUGGGCACAAAAGGAGCCAGGAACAGAAGAUGGCAGCAUAGGAAGGGAAUGUUAUGCUUUGCCCCAGCUGGGGACUCUGGCAGUAUUAUCACUUAGGCAUCCUGAAGCCCAAACUCAAGAAUAAAGAAUUAAAAUUUCAUAUCU
This 2577-nucleotide long non-coding RNA is filed under the name Homo sapiens (human). Its description in RNAcentral is "MAML3 antisense RNA 1 (MAML3-AS1)". Lineage: Eukaryota; Metazoa; Chordata; Mammalia; Primates; Hominidae. The record is from RNAcentral.